GGUCAAGCUACAAAGGGCUCACGGAGGAUACCUAGGCACACAGAGGCGAUGAAGGACGUGGUUACCUGCGAUAAGUCUCGGGGAGUUGGAAGCACACUUUGAUCCGGGAAUUUCCGAAUGGGGCAACCCCUUGAACGACCAACUGAAUAUAUAGGUUGGUGCGAGCUAA
This 169-nucleotide ribosomal RNA is filed under the name uncultured cyanobacterium. Its description in RNAcentral is "partial 23S ribosomal RNA". It matches the Rfam family "Bacterial large subunit ribosomal RNA", at positions 1 to 183 of the family's 2925-position model. Lineage: Bacteria; Bacillati; Cyanobacteriota. The record is from RNAcentral.